RNAcentral lists this ribosomal RNA (452 nucleotides) under Spintharus sp. CU 00783216. Its description in RNAcentral is "partial 16S ribosomal RNA". The record is from RNAcentral. Lineage: Eukaryota; Metazoa; Arthropoda; Arachnida; Araneae; Theridiidae.
AAACAUUGUUUAUAAAAGUUAUUAUAAAUACMACCUGCUCAAUGAAAGAAUUURAAUAGCUGCAAUUUUUGURCUAAGGUAGCAUAAUCAUUUGUUUUUUAAUUUUAAACUAGAAUGAAAGGUAAAACAAAUCAUUUCUUUAUUUUUUAUUUUAUUUUAACUUAUAUUAAAUAUAAAAAUAUAUUUUUAAAAAAAAAAGACGACAAGACCCUAUUGAACUUCACUUUAGUUUAGCUGGGGAAGCUAAAUAAUAAAUAUUUUAUUAUAAAUUUUAUAAAUGACCCAAAAUAUUUGAUUAACUAAUCAAGUUACCAUAGGGAUAACAGCGCAAUAAAUUUUUUAAGUUCUUAUACAAAAAUUUGCUUACGACCUCGAUGUUGAAUUAGAAAUCUAUAUUAAGCAAAAAUAAUAAAAGUAGGUCUGUUCGACCUUUAAAAUUCUACAUGAUCUGA